RNAcentral lists this ribosomal RNA (388 nucleotides) under uncultured Sphingobacteriales bacterium. RNAcentral describes it as "bacterial SSU rRNA". It matches the Rfam family "Bacterial small subunit ribosomal RNA", at positions 994 to 1382 of the family's 1533-position model. Lineage: Bacteria; Pseudomonadati; Bacteroidota; Sphingobacteriia; Sphingobacteriales. The record is from RNAcentral.
ACUGUAGGUGAAAGCUUACAUCUCUUCGGUAGCAUUUUACGAGGUGCUGCAUGGUUGUCGUCAGCUCGUGCCGUGAGGUGUCGGGUUAAGUCCCAUAACGAGCGCAACCCCUACCUUUAGUUGCCAUCAGGUAAUGCUGGGGACUCUAAAGGAACUGCCUACGCAAGUAGUGAGGAAGGCGGGGAUGACGUCAAAUCAGCACGGCCCUUACGUCCAGGGCUACACACGUGCUACAAUGGCCGAUACAGAGGGCAGCUACCUGGUGACAGGAUGCAAAUCUCCAAAGUCGGUCUCAGUUCGGAUCGGAGUCUGCAACCCGACUCCGUGAAGUUGGAUUCGCUAGUAAUCGCGCAUCAGCCAUGGCGCGGUGAAUACGUUCCCGGGCCUU